GGAAGGUAUAGCUCAGUGGUAGAGUGUGUGCUUAGCAUGCACGAGGUCCUGGGUUCAAUCCCCAGUACCUCCA
RNAcentral lists this transfer RNA (73 nucleotides) under Vicugna pacos (alpaca). RNAcentral's name for it is "tRNA-Ala (AGC) (tRNA-Ala-AGC-455-1)". It matches the Rfam family "tRNA". From Rfam's summary of the family: Transfer RNA (tRNA) molecules are approximately 80 nucleotides in length. The record is from RNAcentral. Lineage: Eukaryota; Metazoa; Chordata; Mammalia; Artiodactyla; Camelidae.